GAUGAAGAACGCAGCGAAAUGCGAUAAGUAAUGUGAAUUGCAGAAUUCAGUGAAUCAUCGAAUCUUUGAACGCACAUUGCGCCCCUUGGUAUUCCGAGGGGCAUGCCUGUUCGAGCGUCAUUAUAACCCCUCAAGCUCAGCUUGGUAUUGGGGCCUGCCAUCCUGGCAGCCCUUAAAAUCAGUGGCGGUGCCAUCCGGCUCUAAGCGUAGUAAUUCUUCUCGCUAUGGAGUCCUGGUGGAUGCUUGCCAUCAACCCCCAAUUUUUCUAUGGUUGACCUCGGAUCAGGUAGGGAUACCCGCUGAACUUAAGCAUAUCAAUAAGCGGAGGA
This 329-nucleotide unclassified non-coding RNA is filed under the name soil metagenome. RNAcentral's name for it is "partial contains 5.8S ribosomal RNA, internal transcribed spacer 2, and large subunit ribosomal RNA". The stretch from base 1 to 120 matches the Rfam family "5.8S ribosomal RNA", at positions 35 to 154 of the family's 154-position model. The record is from RNAcentral.